GCCGCGCUGCUGCGCAAUCGCAACGCCCGAACCCCGCCAGGCCCGGAAGGGAGCAACGGUAGGGUCCCCUGCGAUGUGCGCAGCGGCACUUCCUU
RNAcentral lists this signal recognition particle RNA (95 nucleotides) under Deltaproteobacteria bacterium RBG_16_71_12. Its description in RNAcentral is "signal recognition particle sRNA small type". It matches the Rfam family "Bacterial small signal recognition particle RNA". From Rfam's summary of the family: The signal recognition particle (SRP) is a universally conserved ribonucleoprotein involved in the co-translational targeting of proteins to membranes. Archaeal SRP consists of a 7S RNA and homologues of the eukaryotic SRP19 and SRP54 proteins. The record is from RNAcentral. Lineage: Bacteria; Deltaproteobacteria.